GGUCAUCUUACACGCUUCAAGUAGGUAGACAGAUUUCUAUCGGAUACACUGAAUCAUCUAAAAAUGAUAUGGCCCAUUAAACUCUGCAGAUUCAAGUAAUUUUGAGGCCCACUGAAUAAUCCUAAGGCCCAUUGAAGCUCACUACAUCUCUACAGGUAGGCAUGGCCACGGUUCCAGAACCACACCAUCUAGUUCUGGGUCCGGUUCUGGUUUCUUAUAGUUCUGAUUUCGAUUCCUUAUGGUUCUGGUUCUGAUUCCGUAUAGUUGUAUACAAUUUUAUGUAAUUUUUUACCCUUAUCAAUUUUAAUACGAAUAUAACAAUAUAUUUAAAAUUUUAAAUAGAAUGUAAAAAAUAAAUACAAAAUAAAGAUCAUAUUUUAAUUUUAUUAUUAUUCAACAAAGUACGGAGUAAUAAGUAGAUAAUACAAAUUUUAUGAAAAAUACGUCACAUUGUCAAAUUUAAAAAAUACAUUACGCUAUCAAAUAGUAAUCAUUUUAAAUGGAAAAGAAAAUACUUGAUUUUUUCAUUGAAAUUGAGAUGAAAUAUCAAAACAAACAUUAAUUAUUUAAUCAUCUCCAUUGCUUGCGACGGGACUAGAAUCAGUUGUAUAAUUGAAUUCUUCUUCUUCAUCUUUUUCCAUUUCUUGUUGUCUAUAUUCUGCUCUAGUCCAAUCAUCCAUGCAUGCUUGAAUUUCUAGUGAUUUUGGGUUUAAUCUCGAUCUUGUCUCAUCCAAAAUGCUUCC
This 743-nucleotide long non-coding RNA is filed under the name Coffea arabica (coffee). RNAcentral describes it as "long non-coding RNA (CARA_LNC007515)". The record is from RNAcentral. Lineage: Eukaryota; Viridiplantae; Streptophyta; Magnoliopsida; Gentianales; Rubiaceae.